GGCGCCGCAGGAGUUGUCCCUCCUCAAUGCGGGCCCUUUUAGGAGAAGCCAGCGCCUUCCCCUUUAAUUAAGGGGAAGGCUGGAAGGCUGGAUCGGACCUGCGGCGGCGGGGGAACGCCCCCUCCCCCCCAUGGCCGGCAGCUGUCGGCCGCAGUCAGGCGCAUCUGCACCAAGGAGCCAGCAAAAGAGAAUGAACUGAGUUGCUCUUGGGGUGCAAAUGGAGAAGAGAAAAGAAGUGGCUGACAGACAGGAAAAAACAACUAUAUCCAUAAGAGCCACUCUCCACACCCCUCUGCGGCAAUCGGUCAGACGUCUUCAUGCCAACCUUGGCCUAAAGUGUUUUGCAAGAACAGGAGGAGGUCCGAUGACAGAAACUUUGGCAUAAAUAGAAUUUUCCCAAACGUGCCUGUUCACAGACCCAGGUGAGAAGCCUGAUGAAAUACAAAUCCCUGGGGCCCAUCCCAGAACCUACUGAUUCAGAAUCAUUACAGAGAGGACCUGUAUUGUCAGCGAGUGGAUAAUGUGAUGUGCUUCCAGUGGGCCUAGGGGUUCCAGCCUGAGAGGAACCAUGUUCUCCCAGGCCAGGCCUUGUUCUUUUUGGCCUCUAACAAUCUAUGAUUGUGCAACUCUAUAAAAAGGUUUUGAGUUAAACACUUGAA
This is a long non-coding RNA of Suricata suricatta (meerkat), 659 nucleotides long. RefSeq lists it as uncharacterized. NCBI's taxonomy places the organism in Eukaryota, Metazoa, Chordata, Mammalia, Carnivora, Herpestidae. The transcript has 3 exons. The record is from RefSeq and is a predicted model, not a curated record.